GUUUUGUCAAAUUGGGGAUCAAACAUGUAGCAUUCCGUUUGAAUUGUAUGAUCUUUCGGGGUUGGGGGAUGUGUUGUCAUUGGAUGUUUGGAAUGAGGUGUUGUCUGAGGAAGAAAGGUUUAGUCUUGCUCAGUACCUUCCUGACAUGGACCAGGAAACGUUUAUGCGAACUUUGAAAGACCUCCUCACCGGUAAUAAUAUGCAUUUUGGAAGUCCCCUGGAUAAGCU
Molecule: unclassified non-coding RNA, 228 nt
Filed under: Hevea brasiliensis (rubber tree)
Lineage: Eukaryota; Viridiplantae; Streptophyta; Magnoliopsida; Malpighiales; Euphorbiaceae
Source: RNAcentral